RNAcentral lists this ribosomal RNA (382 nucleotides) under uncultured marine Chaetocerotaceae. RNAcentral describes it as "SSU rRNA". It matches the Rfam family "Eukaryotic small subunit ribosomal RNA", at positions 587 to 972 of the family's 1831-position model. Lineage: Eukaryota; Bacillariophyta; Thalassiosirophyceae; Chaetocerotales; Chaetocerotaceae. The record is from RNAcentral.
AGCUCCAAUAGCAUAUAUUAAAGUUGUUGCAGUUAAAAAGCUCGUAGUUGGAUUUCUGGUGUGAGGGAACGGUCCGACCUCUGGUGGGUACUUGCUUCCUCUCACACCAUCCUUGAGUGGUGCAUUCUGGCAUUCAGUUGUCGGGACGUUAGCCGCUCAUCGUUUACUGUGAGAAAAUUAGAGUGUUCAAAGCAGGCGUAUGCCAUUGAAUAUAUUAGCAUGGAAUAAUAAGAUAGGACUUCGGUACUAUUUUGUUGGUUUGCGCACCGAUGUAAUGAUCAAUAGGGACAGUUGGGGGUAUUCGUAUUCAGUUGUCAGAGGUGAAAUUCUUAGAUUUACGGAAGACGAACUACUGCAAAAGCAUUUACCAAGGAUGUUUUCA